GCUAGUCAAACCUUGUUCUGCCUGUGCCAUUUCCUUUUUUUUACUUCUCGCCCGAAAUUUCGCUUGAUUGUUUCAAAUCCUCAUUUCAUUUCUCUGUUUUUCAUCGUCCCCUACUCCUGAUUAUUUCUCUUACAUUCUUACGUGACUUUGGCGCCCUUCAAAGCAUUUCACCUAAUCCUGUAGCUAUAGGCAAGCCAACUACCUUCACCAUCUCAGCUUCUACCGGUAUCUAACCAGUCAUUGAACAACUCGAGCAUAUGACCAGGACUUGAUUUUGGUCAUUGAAUUGAAGCGACUACCCCAGAGAUGGACACGACUUUUUUUAGGUUCCAAAGAAAUAAGGAUGGGUACAAUUUUCUAUUUUAGAAAGAAAUAGAAACCAAAAUUCCUUAAACGCUCCGAUUGGGAAAUUGGAUUUGGAUUUUAUUUGCAAUGUAAAUGAUAAAAAAAUAAAAUAUAUACAUUAGAGAUAAAUAGUUAUGAUUCAAUACAAUAUAGUAAAAACGUGGAGUGAA
Molecule: long non-coding RNA, 515 nt
Organism: Hibiscus syriacus
Lineage: Eukaryota; Viridiplantae; Streptophyta; Magnoliopsida; Malvales; Malvaceae
Exons: 2
Source: RefSeq, a predicted model, not a curated record